AUGGCGAGGAAGGGCGAAGCCUCCGCACAUCUCUACGGUGAACCAAGGAAAUUUGACCCGAAGUUCAGAGGACCUAUUCAUAACAGGCACUGCACAGACAUUAUUUGCUGUGUGAUCUUCAUAGUUGUCAUUCUGGGUUACAUUGCAUUGGGAGUUGUGGCUUGGGUGCACGGGGACCCCAGGAAAGUGAUUUAUCCAACUGACAGCUAUGGGCAGUUCUGUGGUCAGAAAAAUACCCUCAAUAAGAACAAGACCAUUUUGUUUUACUUCAACAUUCUGAAGUGUGCCAGCCCCGUUGUGUUAAUAAACCUACAGUGCCCUACAACACAGCUUUGUGUCUCAAAGUGCCCAGACAGGUUUGCAACCUACAUUGAUGUUCAGGCUUCCUACAGAUAUAGACCAGAUCAGUGGAAUUACUUCAGGCAGUUCUGCAAACCUGGUUUUAACAAUCCUCGCAAGUCUGUUGCUCAAGUCCUACGUGAUGAAGAUUGUCCUUCGAUGAUCAUUCCAAGCAGGCCUUUUUUGAAGAGAUGCUUCCCAGACUUCUCCACAAAGAAUGGUGUGUUGACCGUGGCAAAUCAGACUACAUUCAAAGAUGGAAGAGGGAAAACGAGAAAUGUAACUGAUCUCAGGGAAGCUGCAAAUGGCAUCAAUAAUGUCCUGGAUGCAAGAUCAGUUGGAAUGAAAAUUUUUGAAGACUAUGCCAUUUCUUGGUAUUGGAUUUUAAUUGGGCUGUUCAUUGCAAUGAUGCUGAGUCUGCUCUUUCUUGUGCUAUUGAGGUUCACAGCUGGGGUUCUCUUCUGGAUUUUCAUCUUUGGUGUGAUUGGAAUUAUAGGUUAUGGCAUCUGGCAUUGUUACUGGGAGUAUGAUCAUCUUAAAGGAAUACCUGGAUCUGACCUCACUGUUUAUGAUAUUGGAUUCCAGACAGACUUCAAAGUGUACCUGCAACUGAGGCAAACAUGGUUAGCAUUUAUGAUAAUACUUUGUGGUGUUGAGGUCAUUAUCAUACUGAUGCUGAUCUUCCUAAGAAAUCGGAUCCGGAUUGCUAUUGCACUGCUGAAGGAAGGUAGUAGGGCAAUUGGCUAUAUAAUGUCUACACUGUUCUACCCAAUCGUCACCUUCUUACUCAUUGCAAUUUGUAUUUCCUACUGGGCUGUGACAGCUGUUUUUCUGGCCACAUCAGGAGAACCUGUGUAUAAAGUAAUGGCUAAUCAAACGCUGUGCAAACUUUUUAACACAACCAACGUGACUAAAUUCUGCCCAGGUGCUCAGUGUACUUUUGCGUUUUAUGGAGGAGAACCAAUGCCUUUUGUACCCUUGCUGGUGCCUUUGGCCUCUUAUUACUGGGCCUAUCGAAAACCAGCUGAUAUUCCACUGUGGCCACUCUUCUCUUCAUUUGGACGAGCAAUACGAUACCAUACAGGUUCGCUGGCAUUUGGAGCCUUAAUUCUUGCAAUUGUCCAGCUUAUUAGAGUAAUACUGGAGUACCUGGAUCACAAACUGAAAGGUACUCAGAACUCCUUCACUAGAUUUCUGCUCUGCUGCCUCAAGUGCUGUUUCUGGUGUUUGGAAAAAUUCUUAAAAUUUAUAAACAGAAAUGCCUACAUCAUGAUUGCCAUAUAUGGUAAAAACUUCUGCACCUCGGCAAAGGAAGCAUUCUUUUUGCUCAUGCGAAAUGUGGUGAGGGUUGCAGUUCUGGACAAAGUUACAGACUUUCUUCUAUUCCUGGGGAAAAUCCUUGUUGCUGGUGGUGUAGGUAAGCUAGUAGAUUUUUUUUCUGAAUUGUAUGUUCUUUAUUCUGGUAUACAAAAGCAUGCCUGCCAUAUUAAUAUAUGCUUAGUUAGCAGCUGGAGGUUCUCAUUGGGCUAACUAUUUGGAAAUCUGUUCCUGUGUUUCUGGUGCUAGAUUGAACUAAAAACCUUUUUUUCUUUUUUUUUCCACUUCCCCCCCCUGCCCAGCACCUGGUUUGCCUUGACCAGUAUCUUUUCCAUAAUUGCUUUUACAGCUCUUGCAUGUGUGGCUGUUGCAAGGACUUCUGUGUGGCCACAGCAUUAUAGUUGAAUCAAACCAAAUUCACAUCCAAUAAGUCAGCCACAGUCAGUUCUCCUUUCAGAAGAACUGAACAAAAUUGCAAUGAGAUUCACCUGGUAACAGACAACUGCCUACAAGAUGCUGGUGGUACAGGUCUGCCAGGAAUGGUCCUGAAGCUCUGCUGUAUUUCAAGCCAUUAUAGCUAUAAGCUAUAGUAAAAGAAAUAGAAUAUUUCUAGCAUCCUUAUAGGGUCUUCUUAGUUAUCAGUAAAUAUUAAGUAGACUAUUCAUGGUUUUCUGUGACAGAAAAGUGUUCUUUUUUUUUAAAUUAAAGCACUUCCAGAAAUUCAAGUUGGCAGUGUUUCUGUUGCAGUUUUUCCAAAUCGGCAGCAGUUUCAAAAAACUAUUUUUACAAAUAACUGUAUUUUGCAUUC
Molecule: long non-coding RNA, 2464 nt
Organism: Corvus moneduloides (New Caledonian crow)
Lineage: Eukaryota; Metazoa; Chordata; Aves; Passeriformes; Corvidae
Source: Ensembl